RNAcentral lists this microRNA precursor (136 nucleotides) under Tursiops truncatus (common bottlenose dolphin). RNAcentral describes it as "miRNA (ENSTTRG00000024975.1)". The record is from RNAcentral. Lineage: Eukaryota; Metazoa; Chordata; Mammalia; Artiodactyla; Delphinidae.
AAUGCUUAGUUCAAUUUGAAUUUCAGAUGAACAAUGAAUGAGUUUUAAAAAUAAGUAUGUCUCAUGCAAUAUUUGGGACACAGUUAUACUAGAAAUUUAUUUGUUGUUUACCUGAAGUUCAAAUUUAACUGGGUGU